Oreochromis aureus is the source of this 59-nucleotide microRNA precursor. The record is from Ensembl. Lineage: Eukaryota; Metazoa; Chordata; Actinopteri; Cichliformes; Cichlidae.
UUCCUGUCUGCUCUGAAUGUAGCGUGGCCCACUAGCUACAUUCAGACUGCUGGGGUGAA